AUUGAACGCUGGCGGCAUGCCUUACACAUGCAAGUCGAACGGCAGCACGGGAGUAAUCCUGGUGGCGAGUGGCGAACGGGUGAGUAAUAUAUCGGAACGUGCCCAGUCGUGGGGGAUAACGCAGCGAAAGCUGUGCUAAUACCGCAUACGAUCCAAGGAUGAAAGCGGGGGAUCGCAAGACCUCGCGCGAUUGGAGCGGCCGAUAUCAGAUUAGCUAGUUGGUGGGGUAAAGGCUCACCAAGGCGACGAUCUGUAGCUGGUCUGAGAGGACGACCAGCCACACUGGAACUGAGACACGGUCCAGACUCCUACGGGAGGCAGCAGUGGGGAAGUUUGGACAAUGGGCGCAAGCCUGAUCCAGCAAUGCCGCGUGCAGGAUGAAGGCCUUCGGGUUGUAAACUGCUUUUGUACGGAACGAAACGGUCUGCCCUAAUACGGUGGGCUAAUGACGGUACCGUAAGAAUAAGCACCGGCUAACUACGUG
RNAcentral lists this ribosomal RNA (484 nucleotides) under uncultured bacterium. RNAcentral describes it as "bacterial SSU rRNA". It matches the Rfam family "Bacterial small subunit ribosomal RNA", at positions 30 to 507 of the family's 1533-position model. The record is from RNAcentral.